RNAcentral lists this ribosomal RNA (261 nucleotides) under uncultured bacterium. RNAcentral describes it as "partial 16S ribosomal RNA". It matches the Rfam family "Bacterial small subunit ribosomal RNA", at positions 96 to 353 of the family's 1533-position model. The record is from RNAcentral.
UGGCGAACGGGUGAGUAACGCGUGAGGAACCUGCCUCAAAGAGGGGGACAACAGUUGGAAACGACUGCUAAUACCGCAUAAGCCCACGGGUCGGCAUCGACCUGAGGGAAAAGGAGCAAUCCGCUUUGAGAUGGCCUCGCGUCCGAUUAGCUAGUUGGUGAGGUAAUGGCCCACCAAGGCGACGAUCGGUAGCCGGACUGAGAGGUUGAACGGCCACAUUGGGACUGAGACACGGCCCAGACUCCUACGGGAGGCAGCAUG